GAGACUGUAGCCCAGUGGAACAGCACCUGCCUUGCGUGCAGAAGGUCCUAGCUUCAAUCCUGGGUGCCUCA
Podarcis lilfordi (Lilford's wall lizard) is the source of this 71-nucleotide non-coding RNA. The record is from the annotation of a GenBank genome assembly. Lineage: Eukaryota; Metazoa; Chordata; Lepidosauria; Squamata; Lacertidae.